Molecule: long non-coding RNA, 345 nt
Filed under: Androctonus crassicauda
Lineage: Eukaryota; Metazoa; Arthropoda; Arachnida; Scorpiones; Buthidae
Source: RNAcentral
GUACAACGAGAGGGUUAAGCAUGAGAAUUAAAGAACAUAAAGAAGAUAUUAGGACAGGGAAACUUAGCACAGCGUUGACUAUAAAAACAUACGAAAGUGAUGUAGAUAUAAAGUGGAACGAUGCAAAGAUUAUAAAGCCAUUACAAGAUGUUAAAAGAAUCGCUACUGUAGAGAGUAUCCAGAUUGAGAAAAGGAAACAGGCAUGUGACGUCAUUAACGCUAAUAAGCCACUAAUAUUACCGAUGUCAUGGAAAUGGCACGCUACAUAUGCAAUGUAGACAUAUGGAGGAAAUGUUACUUGUUCGUUGAUUAUUUUAUUUUAUUUUAUUUAGUGUGUUUUAUUCU